RNAcentral lists this microRNA precursor (102 nucleotides) under Marmota monax (woodchuck). Lineage: Eukaryota; Metazoa; Chordata; Mammalia; Rodentia; Sciuridae. The record is from RNAcentral.
AUAUGCGUCAAUAGCAGAUUUGUUGAAAUGCAGAUUCUAAGUCAGUUGGUCUGGGUAGGGCCAAGCUUCUGCAUUUCUGGCAAGAUCCCAGGUGAUGCUGGU